UUCUGUUUUCCGUGCUGAUGUUCCAUGGU
Molecule: non-coding RNA, 29 nt
Filed under: Mus musculus (house mouse)
Lineage: Eukaryota; Metazoa; Chordata; Mammalia; Rodentia; Muridae
Source: RNAcentral